UCCAAGUAGAAACCGAUGGCCCUUGUCCUCGGGCACAAUCUAUCCCUGUGGGUGUCAUCUUUGACUCUGUUCUUGACAAACAGGCCACUGCAAGAAGGAAAAAAAUAAGGGGUUGGGAUUUAUUCUCGGCUGAAAUGAUGCUGAUGUCCCCGUAUGUUUCCAGGAGAGACUGACCGGGUCACCUGCCCAGAGAUGAAGGGCUUAUCCCGUUCUGUGUCAGCGUUGAAUUGGAAAGACAAGAAAGAGGAGAGAAAAGAGUGUUGGAGUGUACCUCCAGAAGCCAGAAGAUGGCAUCAGAUUCAUUGAAGCUGGAGUUCGGUGACAGUGAAGCACCCUACGUGGAUGCUGGGCUCGUCUAGAAGAGCAGACAGUAUCCUUAACCACGGAGCCAUCUCUGCAGUCCCAGAGAGGAUGUGACUGAGCACACCACGUCUUUUUUUUUUUUUUUUUUUUUUGGUUUUUUUG
Long non-coding RNA from Peromyscus californicus insignis, 465 nucleotides. RefSeq lists it as uncharacterized. The transcript is spliced from 3 exons. Lineage: Eukaryota; Metazoa; Chordata; Mammalia; Rodentia; Cricetidae. The record is from RefSeq and is a predicted model, not a curated record.